UGCAGAAGGAUCAUUAUUGAAUUGUAAAAAUGGGGAAGUCGCUUUCGAGCACUCCUCUACCUUUCUUUAUUCCUAAACACCUGUGAAUCGUUGCUGAGUUCGCUCAGUGGCACCAAUUUAAACACAUUUAUAGUUUUGAACGUAAAAAAACAAAAAACAAAAAUAUAACUUUUGACAACGGAUCUCUUGGUUCUCCCAUCGAUGAAGAACGCAGCGAAAUGCGAUAAGUAAUGUGAAUUGCAGAAUUCAGUGAAUCAUCGAAUCUUUGAACGCACCUUGCGCUCCUUGGUAUUCCUUGGAGCAUGCCUGUUUGAGUGUCUUGAAUAUCUCUACUCCUCAACUUUUUAACUAAGGUUGGUUUGGAGUAGGUCCUUGGGCUUGCUUGCGGUUUGUUACGAACACAUGCUUGCCUUAAAUGCAUUAGCUGGAUUUCAGUAGAGUUGUUAAGUAACAUUGAAAACUCUCGUAAUACGAAGUCUGCUUCUAAUCCGUCGUCUUUAUUGACACACAUAUUCAUUUCUUUGGCCUCAAAUCAGGUAGGACUACCCGCUGAACUUAAGCAUAUCAAUAGCGGGAGGGAA
Molecule: ribosomal RNA, 581 nt
Filed under: fungal sp. NLR-2013
Lineage: Eukaryota; Fungi
Description: eukaryotic LSU rRNA
Rfam family: 5.8S ribosomal RNA (bases 167-320)
Source: RNAcentral